This is a long non-coding RNA of Carassius gibelio (silver crucian carp), 1038 nucleotides long. RefSeq lists it as uncharacterized. Lineage: Eukaryota; Metazoa; Chordata; Actinopteri; Cypriniformes; Cyprinidae. The transcript has 3 exons. The record is from RefSeq and is a predicted model, not a curated record.
UUGUUCGGCACGAUGAGAUCUAUAUGUGUACUGAGUUUCAUAUGAAUAUGUGCAAGUAUGUGUGAGCUAUACAUCAAAAUUUUUGACUGUGUUCCAGGGGGCGCCGUAGAGCCCCUGUGCCACGCCCGGGUCCCAGCCUCUGCAGGCUCCUAAAGGCCACAGAUUCCAAAGUGUGCGCAAAUUUUCAAGAGUUUUUGAGUAUGUUAAGGACCCCAAAAGCCCCCACAACUUUGACGAAAAAUUUGAAUACUAAACCCUAAAUAGCCAACUUCCUGUUGGGCGGAGCCUAUGAUAUGCAAUACAAAAGUUGUUUGGAUUGAUGAGAUUUAUAUGUGUACCGAGUUUCAUACGUCUACGAGCAAGAAUGUAUGAUAUAUGGCCCUCCAUAUUCCAGGGGGCGCUGUAGAGCCCCUGUGCCACGCCCGUGUAUCAGUCUCUGCCCGGCCCUAAUGGCCGCAGGUUCCAAUGUGUGUGCCAAUUUUCAAGACUUUUUAAGCAUGUUAAGGGCCCCAAAAGCCCCCGAAACCUUGAAGAAAAAUAAUAAUAAUAAAUAAUAAUAAUAACAAAUAAUCCUAAGGAAAACAAUAGGGCUCUCGCCCUCCAGGCUUGAGCCCUAAAUAUAGCUGCAAGCAGCGAUGGCGGGCUCAAGCCACCAAUGCCAUCACCACCCCGGUGGCAUCAGGUAAACUGUGCCCAGCGGGCACAUGCAUUCACAAUAUCCCUCUGGCAGUGAGGUUUUAAAGGAUAGAGGGGAGCGUAGAGGGGAGCGUGCAUUUGCAGUGGCUGGGCCACGACUCUGGAAUACCCUGCCUUUAGAGAUCAGACUGGCCCCUUCCUUGUCUAUUUUUAAAUCUUUGCUAAAAACUUUUUUAUUUUCCUUAGUGUACUGACUACUGUGUUAUGCUACAUUUUGAAAUGGGUGGUUUUAAAUUUUUUGUCUGGUCUAUUUUUAUGUAUGUGUAAUAUUCUUGCUCUUAUGUUAAAGCACUUUGGUCAGCCAGGAGGCUGUUGUAAAUGCGCUAUACAAAUAAAUUGAAC